GUCCCUUGCAUAGGACAGGGUUUUUACCCUCUGCUGAGGAUGGUAUUAACUAAUUCCCUUUGGCAGCUGGGAUGGGUGCCCAGGACUGAGAACACCAUGCUGGCGCUUUGUUGGCUGAAUCAUAUGGAGCCAAACCUGAAGCCAAGGAGAGCUUUGUGAAGGUCUGAUCCAUUCAGAAUUGGACAGACUGCUAUGGAGACCAACCACCUUUAUGGGAUGGACCAAGAUCUUCUCUAAUCCCAGGAAACACGCCUUCUGCUCACUGCAAACACUGGGGAGUAGAGCAGAGGUCUUUGGAAGUCUUUGUGAACCAAAGCGAGGAACCCGUCCAGCUCUCAGCAUCCUUUUUCAGCACAUUGCUGCCCCUAAAGCACCAGCUGCCGUCGCAGGGAGCGGUCACAAGGAAUUAAAGCUCAGGACCAUCUCUUGGGGUCGGGGACAUAAUCUUACGGACCACUCUAGUAAGAAAAGCAAGAAGAGCUCAGGAGUUGCUGCACCUCGGACUGAUCAGCCCACACCAGCCCCGCAGAGACAGCGAUUUCACGCGGGUGUUAUGCACCGUAACGCGCGAGCACGAGCGCUCAGUCUGGGAGCAGAACAGCAAACUCAUCAUGCCCUAUUUAGCAAAAUGUUCACUGCCAACAUGAAAUUCUGACCCUCACAUUUUAUUAAAGGGAUUAUAUCUUAAAGCAAACUAUUUCAGUCCCUUAGCUAGCUCCUUUCUGUGGAAACUUGCAAGACAAUUUUGAGGACCGUGGCGGGAUCAAGAUGAAACACUUCUGCUUUGCCCACUUAUUUCUUCAGAUGUGCUCAGAUCCUUCCUCUCCUCUGGUAUGUCCCACCUCGUGGUGUCAGCAGCCAUUUGCAAAGCAUCCUUGGCUUUAGUCUCAUCCUGCUUGCAAUUAAAUGCAUGGAAUUAAAUAGACUGCUGUAGGGUCAGCUCUUUUGCUGGUGACAAAUAGCCCUGCUAAACUACCUGCAUAACUCAAGAAGAGCAUCUCCAAGGCCAGAGGGGCUGGAAAGGCAGUUUUACCCUCGAUUGUUUUUGUGAGGGUUUGAAUCCAUUCUAUGGAUUCCACUUAAUGGUAAAAACACACAGUUUAUAUUGUAAAUGAUUGCAUAUGCAUGUUGCAGGGAAGUGGGGGUGGGCCACAUGUUGGGGUAGAUUUGAUAGAACAGCUUUGUGUCAAAUGAAUAGGUGGGUUUAUUAUAGACUUCCCUUGCUCCAAGCUUCAGAUGAGAGAAAUCCUAUAAUCCCGCCCUACUUUAAUACUGGAUUAAUGUGGAUUUGUUAAUAAAAUGCUAGUGAAAUCGAGAAUAAUUUGUAAU
RNAcentral lists this long non-coding RNA (1329 nucleotides) under Chrysolophus pictus (golden pheasant). RNAcentral's name for it is "lncRNA (ENSCPIG00010014673.1)". The record is from RNAcentral. Lineage: Eukaryota; Metazoa; Chordata; Aves; Galliformes; Phasianidae.